CCUACGGGGGGCUGCAGUGAGGAAUAUUGGGCAAUGGACGAGAGUCUGAACCAGCCAAGUAGCGUGAAGGAUGACUGCCCUAUGGGUUGUAAACUUCUUUUAUAUGGGAAUAAAAUGUUCCACGUGUGUGAGUUUGUAUUUACCAUAUGAAUAAGGAUCGGCUAACUCCGUGCCAGCAGCCGCGGUAAUACGGAGGAUCCGAGCGUUAUCCGGAUUUAUUGGGUUUAAAGGGAGUGUAGGUGGGUUGUUAAGUCAGUUGUGAAAGUUUGCGGCUCAACCGUAAAAUUGCAGUUGAAACUGGCAGUCUUGAGUACAGUAGAGGUGGGCGGAAUUCGUGGUGUAGCGGUGAAAUGCGUAGAGAUCACGAAGAACUCCGAUUGCGAAGGCAGCUCACUGGACUGCAACUGACGCUCAUGCACGAAAGUGUGGGUAUCGAACAGGAUUAGAUACCCUGGUAGUC
Molecule: ribosomal RNA, 460 nt
Filed under: uncultured bacterium
Lineage: Bacteria
Description: partial 16S ribosomal RNA
Rfam family: Bacterial small subunit ribosomal RNA
Source: RNAcentral